UGGGGGAUAUUGCACAAUGGGCGAAAGCCUGAUGCAGCGACGCCGCGUGGGGGAUGAAGGCCUUCGGGUUGUAAACUUCUUUUGCUCAGAACAAGGCAUGCUAAUGGGUGUGUUGAGCGUAGGGGUUGAUUAGCGCCGGCUAACUACGUGCCAGCAGCCGCGGUAAUACGUAGGGCGCGAGCGUUGUCCGGAAUUAUUGGGCGUAAAGGGCUUGUAGGUGGCUGGUUGCGUCUGUCGUGAAAGCUCAUGGCUUAACUGUGGGUGUGCGGUGGGUACGGGCUGGCUUUAGUACAGUAGGAGAGGCUGGAAUUCCUGGUGUAGCGGUGGAAUGCGCAGAUAUCAGGAGGAAUACCGGUGGCGAAGGCGGGUCUCUGGGCUGUUACUGACACUGAGGAGCGAAAGCAUGGGGAGCGAACAGG
Molecule: ribosomal RNA, 419 nt
Filed under: bacterium
Lineage: Bacteria
Description: partial 16S ribosomal RNA
Rfam family: Bacterial small subunit ribosomal RNA
Source: RNAcentral